This 356-nucleotide ribosomal RNA is filed under the name uncultured Desulfobulbus sp. RNAcentral describes it as "bacterial SSU rRNA". It matches the Rfam family "Bacterial small subunit ribosomal RNA", at positions 1029 to 1382 of the family's 1533-position model. Lineage: Bacteria; Pseudomonadati; Thermodesulfobacteriota; Desulfobulbia; Desulfobulbales; Desulfobulbaceae. The record is from RNAcentral.
GGAGGACAGGUGGCUGCAUGGCUGUCGUCAGCUCGUGUCGUGAGAUGUUGGGUUAAGUCCCGCAACGAGCGCAACCCUUGCCUUUAGUUUGCCAGCAGUUCGGCUGGGCACUCUAAAGGGACUGCCGGUGUUAAACCGGAGGAAGGUGGGGGAUGACGUCAAGUCCUCAUGGCCUUUAUGACCAGGGCUACACACGUACUACAAUGGCCGAUACAAAGGGCAGCGACACUGCGAGGUGAAGCCAAUCCCGUAAAAUCGGUCUCAGUCCGGAUUGGAGUCUGCAACUCGACUCCAUGAAGUUGGAAUCGCUAGUAAUCGUGGAUCAGCAUGCCACGGUGAAUACGUUCCCGGGCCUU